RNAcentral lists this long non-coding RNA (1194 nucleotides) under Bos grunniens (domestic yak). RNAcentral's name for it is "lncRNA (ENSBGRG00000002122.1)". Lineage: Eukaryota; Metazoa; Chordata; Mammalia; Artiodactyla; Bovidae. The record is from RNAcentral.
AUGGUUCCACAGCUUGGAGGUCUUCUUGCUGUUGACGGGAAACACAGCUUGAUGGUUUUUGGUGACCAUGGUCGGCAGGUUUGUCAACCGGGAGGAGGACGUUUCGGCGGAAGCCAGGGUGGCAUAGGGCGAGCUGGCCAGGCCGGCCCCCAGGAAGCCCUUCUGGCCCCCGGCCACCUCGGGGUGGCGCCUGUAGAGGUGCCGCAUGAGGCAACUGGUGCCCACGUCGCCCCGCUUGCCCCGGCUGAUGGCGCAGCCGCAGUGCCUGCACAGGGCCUUAAGGCUGUCCGUGGGCGCCAGCGAGAAGUGGUGCCACACCUCCGACUUCAGCCGCUUCAUCACCUUCUUGUUCUGCUGGAACACGGCGCCGGCUCCCGCGGCCGAGGGCUCGGCGCGCCACCCGGCUGCGUCUCGGGAGACGACCCCCACGAGGCCUCGCCGGCGUCGGAGGAGGGGGACGCCGCGGCCCCGUGGCCCCAGAGCACCGGCAGCUCCUCUGCCGGCCGGUCAGGGGAGGAGGCUGCGGAGGCGGGGUCCUGGAGCGCCCUCCCUGGAGACGCCGGCAGGGGGCCGGGCUCCGCGUCCGGCGGCUGGGCGGGCCCGAGGGCGGCGGCCGGGGCAGGCGCCUGGGCCGCCGCUCUCGCGCAGCACGAUGGCACGGUGCGCCCGCCACAUGUGCCUGAUGAGGCAGCUGGUGCCCAGGUCCUUCCCGUUCUUGCCGCGGCUGAACUCGUUCAUGCAGUGGACACACACGGCCUUGGAGCUGUCCAGGGGCGACAGGUAGAAGUGCUUCCAGACGGCCGACCGCCGGCGGGACCCGCACCCGCUCCGCGGCAGGGGCAGGUUCUUCUCCGCCCCGUUCUCGGCAGGCUCGCUGCAGUGCAGGGGGGGCGCGUGCGCGGGCGGCCCCGCCGGGCCCUCGUCCCGGCCGUACCUCUCCGAGGCCAGUGCGUCCGAGGCGGCCUCUUCGGAAGAGACCGCGGAGCUGGCCUCCUCCGUCGCCUGGAGGGGAGCCGGGCCUUGAGGUCGCCUGGGAGCAGCGGCCUCGGGUCGGCGGGCGGGGGCCCCGGGCGCGGCGCCGGGGCGGGGUCCCCCGCCAGCGCGGUGGGGUGCGCCCUCCGCACGUGCCGCAUCAGGCAGCUGGUGCUCAGGUCCUUCUCGUUCUUGCCGCGGCUGAACUCCUUCAUGCAGUAG